CCAAAGUGCAAAUUUGGAGACGCACCCAAUAAGGUGCCGGGGCUUCUCCCGUUU
This 54-nucleotide transfer RNA is filed under the name Narudasia festiva. RNAcentral describes it as "partial tRNA-Cys". Lineage: Eukaryota; Metazoa; Chordata; Lepidosauria; Squamata; Gekkonidae. The record is from RNAcentral.